AGGUAAUGUAAAAACUAAUGCUGUGCCAAAUACUGCAACAAACAGUGGAUUAUAAAUGAACCCUUUGGUAUGUUUUUUUCUGACACGCUCUGCUAGCCCUUCUCCCCAGAAGGCUCUACUCUGUGGCUGGGAACAUGCUGGUACCAGGGUUUCUUACUGACACUUCUCCUCUUGGAUUUUCAUUUACUGUAUGCCUCCGAACAAUAAUACCCUUCAAUAAAUUAGGUGAAACUAAUGGCAAAGAUAUCGAAGAACAAUGAAAAUACUUUUGACCUGCCUGUAAAAUGACAGUAGAUAAUAAUCUUUACAAUUAACACUCAUAGAAAAGAUGUUCAACUCUUCACCAAAAGACAUUACUUAAUUUCUGGUUCAGACUUAUGCAGAGAACAGCUAAAUGCAAACCACCUGCUUAUAAUAAAUAAAUCCGUGUACAUUAGCAUGGAAGUUUUGAAUAUGAACAAACGGAAAAAGGAGAAGUUGCUACAGGACUAAAGUUGGAGUCACGUGGUUUCAAAGUUUGUGGAAAGUUUUUUUUUCUUUUUUUUAUGCUCUGUGUGUGUGUCAAGCUUUUAGAUGUGAGUCCUUCAAAGUUGUCAGACUACGUUUCCCUCCAGCUGGUUUGGAGCUGAUUUUCCAACUUCAUUUACAAAAAGCAAUAACAUUUCUGAAUGGGGCAGUGUGGAGAAAUCCUAAGAGAAAUAGCAUAAGAGCAUUUUGGAAUAUAUCCCGGAAAAGAUAA
Molecule: long non-coding RNA, 739 nt
Filed under: Ursus thibetanus thibetanus
Lineage: Eukaryota; Metazoa; Chordata; Mammalia; Carnivora; Ursidae
Description: lncRNA (ENSUTTG00000015643.1)
Source: RNAcentral